UUUUUCUUCUGGAUUUGGGCUCAAUAUCGUUUCAACUCCUGCAUCAUGGGACAAGUUGGUUAUAUUAUCCCUCGACUUGUCAUAGGGGUGUUUGUUCAAUUCCUUUGCAGUUAUAGUACUCUACCACUAUAUGCAAUUGUCACACAGAUGGGAAGUUCAUUCAAGAAAGAAAUAUUCGACGAGCAUAUACAAGAAGGGCUACUUGUUUGGGCUAACAAGGCUAGAAGGAGAGCUGUCAAUGGCUCAAACCAAGUGGAACAUAAAGAGUCCACUUCUCUUAUGUCUGUGCAGCUAGCGCAAGUAGGAACACAAGAAUCUGCUAUGGAAGAGGGCAAUGGGGGAGAAAUUAGUCACGCGAACGACCAACUCAACUCCAAAGUAAAUUAAGCCAACAACCAACAGUCCUCAGAUCUCUCAAAGCUGUUAUGACUGUAAAGGAACUUGUAAAAAGUGAUUAAUGCAGUACAUAUAGUAGCCUCAGGAAGAAAGGAAUGGUUUGAAAUUUGUUUGAAGUAAACUCUGUAUUAAUAUAUGUUUCAUUGUUUUUCCCCUCUUUUUUAAUUCAGUACUAUGAUUGACUAUGGAA
This 586-nucleotide unclassified non-coding RNA is filed under the name Hevea brasiliensis (rubber tree). Lineage: Eukaryota; Viridiplantae; Streptophyta; Magnoliopsida; Malpighiales; Euphorbiaceae. The record is from RNAcentral.